ACAAUGGAGAGUUUGAUCCUGGCUCAGGAUGAACGCUAGCUACAGGCUUAACACAUGCAAGUCGAGGGGAAACGAC
RNAcentral lists this ribosomal RNA (76 nucleotides) under Segatella copri. RNAcentral describes it as "partial 16S ribosomal RNA". It matches the Rfam family "Bacterial small subunit ribosomal RNA", at positions 1 to 76 of the family's 1533-position model. RNAcentral also lists the same sequence under 1 other name. The record is from RNAcentral. Lineage: Bacteria; Pseudomonadati; Bacteroidota; Bacteroidia; Bacteroidales; Prevotellaceae.